RNAcentral lists this non-coding RNA (32 nucleotides) under Macaca fascicularis (crab-eating macaque). Lineage: Eukaryota; Metazoa; Chordata; Mammalia; Primates; Cercopithecidae. RNAcentral also lists the same sequence under 1 other name. The record is from RNAcentral.
UGAGAUGAUUCUAAUAAAACACCAAGGGUGAA